RNAcentral lists this ribosomal RNA (690 nucleotides) under Pseudomonadota bacterium. RNAcentral describes it as "bacterial SSU rRNA". It matches the Rfam family "Bacterial small subunit ribosomal RNA", at positions 1 to 664 of the family's 1533-position model. Lineage: Bacteria; Pseudomonadati; Pseudomonadota. The record is from RNAcentral.
CAAUUGGAGAGUUUGAUCCUGGCUCAGAAUGAACGCUGGCGGCGUGCCUAACACAUGCAAGUCGUACGAGAAAUCUUCUGCUUGCAGGAGAGAGUAAAGUGGCGAACGGGUGAGUAACGCGUGGGCAAUCUGCCUCUGAAUCUGGGAUAACCCCGCGAAAGCAGGGCUAAUACCGGAUGGUAUCCCGCGACUUUGGUUGUCGGGUUUAAAGGUGGCCUCUACAUGUAAGCUACUGUUCGGAGAUGAGCCCGCGUGCCAUUAGCUUGUUGGUGGGGUAAUGGCCUACCAAGGCGACGAUGGCUAGCUGGUCUGAGAGGAUGAUCAGCCACACUGGAACUGAGACACGGUCCAGACUCCUACGGGAGGCAGCAGUGAGGAAUCUUGCGCAAUGGGGGAAACCCUGACGCAGCAACGCCGUGUGAGUGAAGAAGGCCUUCGGGUCGUAAAGCUCUGUCAAGUGGGAAGAACCUGUCCCGUGCCAAUACCACGGGACACUGACGGUACCACUGGAGGAAGCACCGGCUAACUCCGUGCCAGCAGCCGCGGUAAUACGGGGGGUGCAAGCGUUAUUCGGAAUCAUUGGGCGUAAAGGGCACGUAGGCGGCCUGGUAAGUCAGAUGUGAAAGCCCGGGGCUUAACCCCGGAAGUGCAUUUGAUACUGUCAGGCUUGAGUAUGGGAGAGGGAAGUGG